UGAAGAGUUUGAUCAUGGCUCAGAUUGAACGCUGGCGGCAGGCCUAACACAUGCAAGUCGAACGGUAACAGGAAGCAGCUUGCUGCUUCGCUGACGAGUGGCGGACGGGUGAGUAAUGUCUGGGAAACUGCCUGAUGGAGGGGGAUAACUACUGGAAACGGUGGCUAAUACCGCAUAACGUCGCAAGACCAAAGAGGGGGACCUUCGGGCCUCUUGCCAUCAGA
Molecule: ribosomal RNA, 224 nt
Filed under: Salmonella enterica
Lineage: Bacteria; Pseudomonadati; Pseudomonadota; Gammaproteobacteria; Enterobacterales; Enterobacteriaceae
Also listed under: 8 other names
Description: partial 16S ribosomal RNA
Rfam family: Bacterial small subunit ribosomal RNA
Source: RNAcentral